RNAcentral lists this ribosomal RNA (637 nucleotides) under uncultured bacterium. RNAcentral's name for it is "bacterial SSU rRNA". It matches the Rfam family "Bacterial small subunit ribosomal RNA", at positions 239 to 876 of the family's 1533-position model. The record is from RNAcentral.
CAUCAGCUAGUUGGCGGGGUAAUGGCCCACCAAGGCGAAGACGGGUAGCUGGUCUGAGAGGAUGACCCCCCACACUGGUACUGAGACACGGACCAGACUCCUACGGGAGGCAGCAGUAAGGAAUAUUGGUCAAUGGACGGAAGUCUGAACCAGCCAUGCCGCGUGCAGGAAGACGGCCCUACGGGUUGUAAACUGCUUUUGCAGGGGAAUAAACCUCGAUACGUGCAUCGAGUUGAAUGUACCUUGAGAAUAAGGAUCGGCUAACUCCGUGCCAGCAGCCGCGGUAAUACGGAGGAUCCAAGCGUUAUCCGGAUUUAUUGGGUUUAAAGGGUGCGUAGGCGGCUUUUUAAGUCAGGGGUGAAAGACGGUAGCUCAACUAUCGCAGUGCCCUUGAUACUGAAGAGCUUGAAUGUACUUGAGGUAGGCGGGAUGUGACAAGUAGCGGUGAAAUGCAUAGAUAUGUCACAGAACACCAAUUGCGAAGGCAGCUUACUAAAGUAUGAUUGACGCUGAGGCACGAAAGCGUGGGGAUCAAACAGGAUUAGAUACCCUGGUAGUCCACGCCCUAAACGAUGAACACUCGAUGUUGGCGAUAUACGGUCAGCGUCUAAGCGAAAGCGUUAAGUGUUCCACCUGG